RNAcentral lists this non-coding RNA (80 nucleotides) under Drosophila pseudoobscura. RNAcentral also lists the same sequence under 1 other name. The record is from miRBase by way of RNAcentral. Lineage: Eukaryota; Metazoa; Arthropoda; Insecta; Diptera; Drosophilidae.
GAUUUAUGUAGCUAACGGACAACCGUCUAUAUUGUUCUAAAAAUCCAAAAUAGUCGCUUGUCCUUUAGCCGCUGCGAUCC